CUUUGCGCCUAUUUUGUUGGUUUCUAGGUGUAGAGUAAUGAUUAAUAGAGUCAGUUGGGGGUGUUCAUAUUUAGUUGUCAGAGGUGAAAUUCUUGGAUUUACGAAAGAUGAACUUCUGCGAAAGCAUUCAUCAAGGAUGUUUUCAUUAAUCAAGAACGAAAGUUAGGGGAUCGAAGACGAUCAGAUACCGUCGUAGUCUUAACCAUAAACUAUGCCGACCAGGGAUUGAAGGACGUUACAUGGAUGACUCCUCCAGCACCUUGCGAGAAAUCACAAGUCUUUGGGUUCUGGGGGGAGUAUGGUCGCAAGGCUGAAACUUAAAGGAAUUGACGGAAGGGCACCACCAGGAGUGGAGCCUGCGGCUUAAUUUGACUCAACACGGGGAAACUCACCAGGUCCAGA
This 402-nucleotide ribosomal RNA is filed under the name uncultured fungus. Its description in RNAcentral is "SSU rRNA". It matches the Rfam family "Eukaryotic small subunit ribosomal RNA", at positions 828 to 1228 of the family's 1831-position model. The record is from RNAcentral. Lineage: Eukaryota; Fungi.